Molecule: long non-coding RNA, 654 nt
Filed under: Gallus gallus (chicken)
Lineage: Eukaryota; Metazoa; Chordata; Aves; Galliformes; Phasianidae
Description: long non-coding RNA NONGGAT003357
Source: RNAcentral
AGGGGGGGGGGGGUGCUGAUUUACCGCUGCAGAAGCUGCUUUUGUCGUAAGGCGACGGACCGAAUGGAAGUGUCGAAGGGGCCGUGAGGUGAAUGUCGGUGCGCGGGAAGCCGUGGGGCAGCGAGCGCACGGGCGCGUGGAGCCGGUAACCUGAGGAGAAAUCUGAACCGCUGCACAAUCUGGAAUGCAAAUCGGGUGUGAGGUAGAGACGGCUCAUUCUGCCUCUGCCUGCAGAGGUUUGGCUUCUGUCUUCUGAAUUCACGGUGGAGCGGCUAAGCUGGAAAGGAGUUCUACGGUGUUGUUUGCAGCUCUUUUAAAUACGGUAUAAAUGUUAGCAACCGUGGAACUCUGGGCUUUCCCGAGCUUCUGGUUACUCAGAACAAUCUCCCAGAACCAGGAAAGAAAAAUGGAGCUCCAGUACACUUGAGUAACAUUGUAAGCCUUUAUAGUUCCUUAAAAGGAAACAGCGGCCAGUCCGAGGGAUUUUCUGCUGUAGUUCAGACACAGUUUGGGGAGGGGGAUAAAUGAUUUACCAGAGUUGUAGUAACAUGAGAUCAUGAACUGGGCUUAGUGCUGUGUGAGCAUCUUGUUCGUUCCUCUUUAGGUUGUUCUUCCACCACCACAAUAAAAUGUGCUUAAUUAGUAAAAUGCUUU